GCUAGUGUAAGCGCAUUUGAGAGACGGUUUUUGAUGAGAGAGACGUGAGGUUGAGAGAGCAAUUUUGGGAGUGAGGUUGAGAGAGCGAUUUUGUGAGUGAGAUUGAGAGGGAUUGAGGACGAUGAAUAGGUUCUGUUACAGUACCUCUCACCAUUUUCUUUUUAUUUUUUUAUUUUUUUUAUUUUUUAAACAGAGUAAACAUUGAAACCAUUAAAAAUUUUAUGUUUAAUAUUCCCAUGUUUAUUUAAUGGUAUUUUUAGUUAAUACUGUACAUUAACAUAUCAUUUUUGGUAUUCCCAAUCCAUUAACCUCUAGAAUCCAACAGCCAGGCGGCUGGGUUUUUUUUGGUAAUCCAACAUACCUUUUUUAUUAUUAUUUUAGUUUUUGUUUUUUU
Molecule: long non-coding RNA, 394 nt
Filed under: Lathyrus oleraceus (garden pea)
Lineage: Eukaryota; Viridiplantae; Streptophyta; Magnoliopsida; Fabales; Fabaceae
Description: Pisum sativum (pea) long non-coding RNA (PSAT_LNC022966)
Source: RNAcentral